AUCUGGCUAGCUCAGUUGGUAGAGUGUGUGACUCUUGAUCUCAGGGUUGUGAGUUGAAGUCUCAUGCUGGGUA
Molecule: transfer RNA, 73 nt
Filed under: Canis lupus familiaris (dog)
Lineage: Eukaryota; Metazoa; Chordata; Mammalia; Carnivora; Canidae
Also listed under: 1 other name
Rfam family: tRNA
About the family: Transfer RNA (tRNA) molecules are approximately 80 nucleotides in length. Their secondary structure includes four short double-helical elements and three loops (D, anti-codon, and T loops).
Source: Rfam by way of RNAcentral